UGCCUGGUGGUUUUUAUAUUUUAUGUUUUCAAACAAUUUUUUUAUUGUUUAAUAUGUUUCUUUCAUAUUGACAGCAUGGACGAUGGGAACAGAAGGCUUUUGGUUUCCAUUGUGAAGCAAAACAGCCUUUAAACUAUCCUUGCUGCUAUAAAAAAAAAACUCCAAUCUUUUGAGUCGUAAGCUUCACCCAGUUUCUUGAAUGGUCCGAAGAGAAUUCCGAAAAGCUAAUAAGUACAGCUGUCAAUGUAAUUUGCAAGAUAUAAUCUGAGAAAUUUAAAGCUUUCAAAUGGAAAAUGGCGCAUUAGCUGGGAGUCAUGAAAAAUCGUGCAAUUAAUGGCUGAUGCUGAUCGUUUUUCCAAACUUACCAGAAUCACACAUUACCUUACAUACCGUUCUGUACCUUGGCCUUAUUGUAAUUCCCAAUUUACUUGUAAAACUAGUAAACACGACAUUUAUGCUGUGA
Drosophila obscura is the source of this 463-nucleotide long non-coding RNA. RefSeq lists it as uncharacterized. The record is from RefSeq and is a predicted model, not a curated record. The transcript has 2 exons. Lineage: Eukaryota; Metazoa; Arthropoda; Insecta; Diptera; Drosophilidae.